Molecule: non-coding RNA, 3142 nt
Organism: Cajanus cajan (pigeon pea)
Lineage: Eukaryota; Viridiplantae; Streptophyta; Magnoliopsida; Fabales; Fabaceae
Source: RefSeq, a predicted model, not a curated record
UUUCUUUUGUAAUUUUUAUGUUAUUUAUGUUGAAAGUGUGUAUUUUUGUCAUAUUAUAAUUUUACUAAAAGAUUAUAAGUUAAUUCCUAACUAGGAGGCUCUGCCACCUUUACUGGGAUUAAUCUAUAAUCUUUAUUUUAUUAUUUCUUGACAAUUUGAUACUUACAGUUGAAAAUUAUGAAUGUGCAUCUUUUACCCAAUGAUACUUGAGAUAAUUAUUUUAUAUUAGACUAAGAAAGAAUUUAUAUAUAGAUGGUUUAUAUCUAUUGUAAUUAUGUUGGGGUAGAGGGUGUCACAUUUAGUGGUAUCAGAGCAAGUCGAUUUUAUCAACCGUGUGUGUUAUGUGCUUAUCAUGACUCUGUUGUGUACUCUGACUAUGUCUUGUUUGUUGUGUACUAUGAUGAUGAUGUUCGUCCUGUGUUGAUAUUGUUGAGUUUGAGAUUGUUAAGUUAGUUUGUAAUCAGAGGAAUGAUAAUCAUGAUAGUGUUAGCCAACUCGAAUUAUUAGAACCUUGGAUGGGAGGUGAUAUAUUGAGUGUACUAAGAGUUUAUGAUUGGUGAAGUUUCUGACAUCUAUAGUUGUAGCAGGUUGAAUCUAAAGGUGGUUGUCUCUUUGGUGAGAGAUCGAAAUGAUGUUAAUUCCCUUAAGUGUUAUUAUUGGUAUGUUAAUUAUUUAUGGUUUAGGUAGCAUGUGAGUUGUUUUGAUUGAGAAAAGUAAGGAGAGACUUGAAUGAGAAAUUAAGUAGUGAAUUUGGAAAAAGUUGAGGUAUUUUGUGGCAUUAGAUAUAUUGAUACAUUAUUGCUAUUUGGUGUCGAAAAUAUUUUCAUUAUAGUUUGUUAUGAUAGUAUGAGUAUUAUAUCGACAAAAUUUAUAUUUUGAGGUCUUUAUGAAGAAUAUGGCUUUAGAUAUUAUCUUUUCAAUAGAACUAGGAUAAGAUGAAACAAAAAUCUAGAACUUCAAGUUAUGACUGCCUUGGUGAUUAGAAAUUUAGUAAGCACUGAAUUUAUUAGUGGUGAUAUUUGAAUCUUUAGCUAAAGAGAUGAUCUCUUGGAAAUCUUAUGUCUUCAUAAAGAGUUGUAGCUUAUUCACUUAACUUUCGUUUGAGAUAGGUUUGAAAUCACUUGGAUGAAUACAACUCUGUGUGUCAGGUAGAUAUAUGCUAUCAUGAUAUUUUGAGUUGUUAGGCAUAAAAAUAGAUUUAAACUAGAUUGUCUAAGUAUGAAUUUGGAUUGUAUGAGGUGAGUAUUUUAGACCAUGAAAUUUCUUGCGGAGGAAGAUCUACCUAAGUUGUGCUUAAGUGAGAGAUACUUGAGUCAAUUAGUAAAAUCAGGAGUCUUGUUUGAUAGUUUAUAUGAAAAUUCAGUGAGUAAUUUUUUUUUUAACAGCUGUUCAUGGUUUAAACUGCUCUCACUAUAAAAAUUGCUUUUGCCUUCGUUUCUUUGGUUAUUAAGAUGUUUCAGUUCACUAGGUUGUUUCUUGCCUACCCUUGGAAUCAACCGUAAGGAUAAUCUAUAUCAGGAAUUCUUGAACCUAUGUAUAUUUUUAACUACCCAAAUCAUUUCGUUGCUUACUUCUUUGAAUUACUUACUAUUACCUUUGACUGAAUUGACUAGAAAGGAGUUACAUUAGUAUGGGAUAACAAUUGAGGAAGUAGUUUUCAAACUCUUAAGGAAAGAUUGACUAGUGUUAAUAUUACUAGAUUUUAGUAAGAUUAUUGUGAUAUAUAAAUAUGUCUCUGAAAAUAGGUUUAGGAAGAAUAUUGUGGCAAGAAGAAAAGAUAGUAGCUUAUGUUUCUAAGAAAUUGAAAAUUCAUGAGAGAAAUUACCUUACCCAUAACCUUGUUAGCGACUUUGUCAUUUAUACUAAGAUUUGGAGACACUAACUAUAUGAUUCUAUGGUUGAGGUAUUUAGUGAUCAUAAGAACCUUAAAUAUCUUUUGACCAAAGGGGUUGAAUACGAGAUAAAAGAAAUAGUUGAAAUUUCUUAAGGAGUAAAAUUUUGAUCUUAUUAUUUGGCUAAAGCCAUUGUGGUGAUUGAUGUUUUGAGGAAAUCUUUAUCUUUCAUUAUGAUUAGAGAGAUGAAUCUUUUUGGCUCAAAUUAGAAAUUUAAGUUUGGAUUAUAAGGUUACUUCUAGUAUUGUGAGAUUAAGUAUGAAUAACGAAUGGAUUGUUGAAGAAAAUUAUAGGAGCAUAAUUAGUUGAUUUAUUUUGGUAACAAGUUAUAAGGCUAUAGGUUAAGGUGAUGGAUAUGAUUAUGACUUGGGUGAAGAUGAAAUGGUGAAACUAGAGAACUGAUAUGGAUACCGAGUGUACAUUAUGCUUAGGUGUUGAUGUUGUGGCAAAUAUCUGGAUUACAAUGAUAACCAAAUUAUUAUUUUGAUGAUUUAAGGAUUGAAUUUGAUUGCAGAAUUUAGAAACUUAUGCUUGAUGUGUAAGAUUACCCUAGUAGCAUUGAAUUAUUUAUGUUGGAAGUAACUAUCAGAUUAAUAGAUGAGAUUAGAGGAACUAGGAGUUAGAUCCUUUAUUAGUGACCCAAAUAAGCAAGAGAUUAGAAAGGACACAGUUGGAUGUUUAGUUAUAAAACUUGAAAGGACAUAAGAGUACUCUUAACAUUUAUUUAGGAGUUACUAAAAUGUAUCAGAGUGGCGCAAGGGAAGCGUGAUGGUCUAAUAUGGAAAGAGAAGUAGAGAACUUGAAUCAAGAUAUGGAGAGUGAGUUUAAAUUUGGAGUGGAUGGAGUUUUGAGAUUUAAGGAUAAGUUGUGCAUUCCUAGUGUGCUAGAAUUUAAUAAAGCAAUCCUAGAAGAAGGUCAUAAGAGUAUCUUUAGUAUCCAUUCAGAAACUACUAAGAUGUACCAAAAUCUUAAGAAGAUAUUUUGUGACCUAAGAUGAAGAGAGGAGUAAAGCAAUUGUAUAUUUAUGGUUAGCAUACUAGAAGUUUUUAAGAAUCUUGUAGCACUUAGAUGCUCCAUUUUGGAAGUAAGAUGGUGAAUAGAUAGACCCUAGUGGAAGAUUUGUCUAAGACGCUUAAGAAAUUGAUUUUGUUUGUGUUUAAGUGGAUAAAUUCGUCAAGAUCUUUCCUUAAGCAAAUCCUUUGAGGAAAUUGAUAAAAGUUGUACAUCAACAAGGUAGUGAUGUUGCAUAA